GCCAGGUCGGCGGCAUGAUCAGCGCGGUCUGUAAAACCGUCGGCGAAAGCCUACGCAGGUUCGAAUCCUGCACCUGCCACCA
Molecule: transfer RNA, 82 nt
Filed under: Carbonactinospora thermoautotrophica
Lineage: Bacteria; Bacillati; Actinomycetota; Actinomycetes; Kitasatosporales; Carbonactinosporaceae
Description: Streptomyces thermoautotrophicus tRNA-Tyr
Source: RNAcentral